Podarcis lilfordi (Lilford's wall lizard) is the source of this 3674-nucleotide non-coding RNA. NCBI's taxonomy places the organism in Eukaryota, Metazoa, Chordata, Lepidosauria, Squamata, Lacertidae. The record is from the annotation of a GenBank genome assembly.
UAGGACAGAAUCCCUGGUAGAUUGACCAUCCAGCCACUGCUUAAUAAGCUCUAAUAGAGGAGAGUCCACCACUUCUCAAGAUAUCAGAUACACGUCCUUUUCACUCCCUGCUACCUGAACUUUUCAACAAGAAGCCAGGGAUUCAGUUGAGGAGCUUCUGAGUGCAAAGGACACGCGUACCUAUGGGACCGCCUCUCCUGGUAUGUCCCACGGAGGACCUUACGGUCUGCAGACAAAAACAUCUUGGAGGUCCCAGGCCACAGGGAGGUUAGGCUGGCCUCAACCAGAGCCAGGGCUUUUUCGGCCGUGGCCCCUAUCUGGUGGAACACUCUGUCACAAGAGACUAGGGCCCUGCGGGGCUUGACAUCUUUCCACAGGGCCUGCAAGACAGAGCUGUUCCACCAGGCCUUUGGCCAAGGCACAGUCUGCCCCCCUCCUUCUGUAAUCCUCACAGAACUCUAGCCCAAUGGUGGCCAUUAAUUUGACUCUGAAUUGAUUUUAGAAUGAAUUGAUUUUAGAAUGUAUUUCAAUUAAUAGACUGUGAUUUUAUGUAAACUGUGUUACUUUUACUGUUGUUAGCUGCUCUGAGCCCAGCUUCAGCUGGGGAGGGCAGGAUAUAAAUAAAAUUUUAUUAUUAUUUAUCAUUAUUCUUAACUUUAACCCUUAUAACAACCCUGCGUAAAGUAGGUUAGCAUUGUUAUCCCCAUAUUGCAGAAGUGAGGUUGAGGCUGAGAUGUAGUGACUCUCCUAAGGCCACUUAGUGAGGUCAUGGCAGAGUCAUGAUUCCUGAUUUGCUAGCUCACUCUCUUAGCCACCCUGGCUCUUAGUUAUUAUGAUUGAUUUCCAUCUGGAUUGUUAAGAAAUGAUUUAUUCUUUAUGAAAUCAUGCUCCCUAAAAAAAAAGGAAAGAAAAAUGUUUUUAGCAAACCAGAUUGCAUGUGUACUAUGUUUGAAAAGGAAUUUCUAAAUAGAGCACAACAGGGGAAAUAAUUUAAGCAUAAUAAAGCAUAUGAAAUGCAACAUUGUUAAGAGUGUUAUCUUGAUUGAUGGCUUGUUUAAGCCAUAGCCGUAAGAAGUGAAAUGAUGAGUGAAUAUUGAUGGGCAUUUUUCUAAGUGGUAACUUAACCAGGGCAAGCAUUUAACAACUUCGAGAGCUGGUUGUGUCUGGAUUGCCCUGCCAAGUGAUGAGGAGAAGCUUACUGCACUUCUGCCCUUGAAAAGGAAUUGUUGUUGGCAUCUACCAGUCUCAAGAGACAAUGGAGUGCACCUCUGCAGGUGAAGUCAUACUGCUGGAGAAUCACAGCGCCUGCUGUGGCUGCAGAGACCAGAAACUCAUAGCUGCUGCUUCCCAUGUUGUUUUUUCCUUUGUUAGCAGCACUGAAGUGACCUCUCUGGGAUGCAAGCCCAGAAAGUGUGUAUGGAGGUCUUGGGCUGCCCAGAUGACAAGACCUCCCUCUUGGGCUCACUGAUGUGGUGCAAAGGAAAGCAGAGCAGUACAUUUGGCACCAGCUUGGCUGCAGGAAUUGCCGGGUGGAGGCAUACAAGGAUGCCAUCCAGCGUUCCCCCCCCCCCAGCUGGAGUGUACUGGAGUGAAGUUCUGGCACUUCUCAGGUGGGCACAAUUGCAGGCUGGUACUCCCCCUGCCUUUAUGUACUUUUGAGAGGCUCAAAACAAACAUUUCAACACAAACCAGAAGCUAGCCAGAGUGUCUGAAUCUAUCCUUUUUUUCAGAGUAUGACUCCACCUAGCUCCUAGCUAGGGACGCGGGUGGCGCUGUGGGUAAAACCAUAGAGCCUAGGACUUGCCGAUCAGGUCGUCGGCGGUUCGAAUCGCAGCUACAGGGUGAGCUCCAGUUGCUCAGUCCCUGCUCCUGCCAACCUAGCAGUUUGAAAGCACGUCAAAGUGCAAGUAGAUAAAUAGGUACCGCUCCCGCGGGAAGGUAAACGGCGUUUCCGUGCGCUGCUCUGGUUCUCCAGAAGCGGCUUAGUCAUGCUAGCCACAUGACCCAGAAGCUGUACGCCGACUCCCUCAGCCAAUAAAGCGAGAUGAGCGCCACAACCCCAGAGUUAUCCGCGACUAGACCUAAUGGUCAGGGGUCCCUUUUUACCUUUACCUUUACCUAACUCCUAGCUGCUCCUAGCCAUGAUUGGUCAAGCUAUGGGGAAGUGCCAAUGCAUAUUUCCUUUUCUUCAAUCCUUCUCCCAUGUAGCAGUAGUGGGCUUUAAACUUUCCAAUCAGGCCUCUACUGUUGCAUGUGUGCACAUUUUCAUGAGGGUCCUUCUGGGCUGCCCUAGCCAUCCGCCUGAAUCUAAGAGAAUGAGGGAGGUGGGUGCAUUUAUUUGACCCAACUCAGCAAAAAAAAAAUGAUAAAUCACCUGAGGCCAGUGCAGUUAAAUCUUUCUUCAAGGAAACAAACCACAGGCCUGGUGAUCUCAGCAGCAGUUUCCAUGAGGUCUUGUUCCAAUGAAGUAGCCUGUCUCCACUCUGCUUCUUGGCCACCCUCUAUUCCAGCCUCUACUUCAGUCUCAGAGUCAGAGUCUGAACUGCUCUCUGCCACAGCCUCCUCCUGUUCACUAAAUCCUGUCACCUCUCCUGCUGCUAACACCUCCUCUUCCUGGUUUGCUCCUUCGCCUUUUGACCACUCAUCAUCGUCCCACCACCAGUGCCCUGGCUGUAUGCCUUCUUCCCCUGGGGGUUCCCUAGGGGGUUCCCCAGCUGCUGCCUCCCACCGCUCCUCUGCACCCAGCCAGUCCACGACACAAACCCUUUAAGUACUCAUAAAUCACAUAAAUCACACAAUGAAAAAAUGCCCCAUGUUCCCCCAAUGAAGUCACACUUCUUUAGUUUAAAGGGACGGAGCAAGGUUAAUUUACAGAAACUCAUUAUCUUUAUAGCCUGUCCCCCUGAUCCGGCUAAUUCUAUUCACCAACACAUUUUCACUGGCAGAUCUAAUGCUCUGGAUACACAAAGGCCUAAUUCUCUUAGAAUGGAGCACAUUGGGGAAUACAUCAACCAAUUCCAGAAGUGCAAGCCCAACCCCACAAAGACCCCCACAGGAAUACCUACACACCACAAGGUUUUGCACACAUCAUUGUUUGCUCACUAUGCAAUUUGCAACCAGAGCAAUGCCUUUCUCUUUACUGGGUAACUGGAAAAUGAAGGACUUUGUUCCAAUGCAAUUCCAGCUCCAAUGCAAAUGGACCUGAUCCUUGCCUCUUGAGUUAAUCCCUGGAUUGUAAUGGAAUUAUCCACCGGUUUUUACACUUCCUGAAUGUUCUGAUGCAUUUUGAUGUUGCUUUUGAUCUGAGAAUUGCUUUCAGAAAUGCAUAUUUUGAGAGAACUUGCUUUAACAAAUGUACAUUUAAAAUAGCAUUUUAAUGCAUAUUUGCGGGUGUGCAGAUUUGACCGUAGAUUAAUGACAAACAGGAUGGAACAGACACAUGAGAGAAUGGGUGCAGACCAGAAAUAGACUGAUAUGUUGAAGCCUAGUUGGCAAUUUCUCUCAUAAGAAUGCAGAUGUUUCCUCCAGUUGCUGGGCAAGUGCAGAACCUGCUCCCCAGUCAUCAAUCUCUGGAUGAUUUGAAUACAGCCAACUCCCUUAGGAGGUUAAUGUUCCACCAGUGAUUAUUAUUAUUUUUUUUAAAUGAUAUUUAUUAAGAAUUUUAAAAUUACAGG